This 858-nucleotide ribosomal RNA is filed under the name uncultured Actinomycetes bacterium. RNAcentral describes it as "bacterial SSU rRNA". It matches the Rfam family "Bacterial small subunit ribosomal RNA", at positions 44 to 916 of the family's 1533-position model. The record is from RNAcentral. Lineage: Bacteria; Bacillati; Actinomycetota; Actinomycetes.
GUGCUUACACAUGCAAGUCGAGCGAUGAGAUCACUUCGGUGAAGGAUUAGCGGCGAACGGGUGAGGAACACGUGAAGAAUCUGCCUUCAACUCUGGGAUAACUCCGGGAAACCGGGGCUAAUACCGGAUAUGAGCCUUGAUCGCAUGAUCGGGGCUGGAAAGUUUUUCGGUUGAAGAUGACUUCGCGGCCUAUCAGCUUGUUGGUGAGGUAAUGGCUCACCAAGGCGACGACGGGUAGCCGGCCUGAGAGGGCGACCGGCCACACUGGGACUGAGACACGGCCCAGACUCCUACGGGAGGCAGCAGUGGGGAAUAUUGGGCAAUGGACGAAAGUCUGACCCAGCGACGCCGCGUGCGGGAUGAAGGCCUUCGGGUUGUAAACCGCUUUCAGCAGGGAAUAAGCGCAAGUGAAGGUACCUGCAGAAGAAGCACCGGCUAACUAUGUGCCAGCAGCCGCGGUAAUACAUAGGGUGCAAGCGUUGUCCGGAAUUAUUGGGCGUAAAGAGCUCGUAGGUGGUUUGUUACGUCGGUUGUGAAAUUCAGGGGCUCAACUCCUGACUUGCAGCCGAUACGGGCAAGCUAGAGUUUGGUAGGGGAGACUGGAAUUCCUGGUGUAGCGGUGGAAUGCGCAGAUAUCAGGAGGAACACCGAUGGCGAAGGCAGGUCUCUGGGCCAAUACUGACACUGAGGAGCGAAAGCGUGGGGAGCGAACAGGAUUAGAUACCCUGGUAGUCCACGCCGUAAACGGUGGGCGCUAGUUGUGCGAACCUUCCACGGUUUGUGCGACGCAGCUAACGCAUUAAGCGCNCNCGCCUGGGGGAGUACGAUCGCAAGAUUAAAACUCAAAUGAAUUGACGG